GGGCCCGCACAAGCGGUGGAGCAUGUGGUUUAAUUCGAUGAUACGCGAGGAACCUUACCAGGGCUUAAAUGUAGUGGGACAGGUCUAGAGAUAGACCCUUCUUCGGACUCAUUACAAGGUGCUGCAUGGUUGUCGUCAGCUCGUGCCGUGAGGUGUCAGGUUAAGUCCUAUAACGAGCGCAACCCCUAUCGUUAGUUGCCAGCGGGUAAUGCCGGGAACUCUAGCGAAACUGCCGGUGCAAACCGAGAGGAAGGUGGGGAUGACGUCAAAUCAUCACGGCCCUUACGUCCUGGCUACACACGUACUACAAUGGUAGGGACAAUGAGCUGCGAUCCUGCGAAGGCUAGCC
RNAcentral lists this ribosomal RNA (349 nucleotides) under uncultured bacterium. Its description in RNAcentral is "bacterial SSU rRNA". It matches the Rfam family "Bacterial small subunit ribosomal RNA", at positions 917 to 1269 of the family's 1533-position model. The record is from RNAcentral.